This is a long non-coding RNA of Homo sapiens (human), 310 nucleotides long. Ensembl annotates it as small nucleolar RNA host gene 4. Its record names the gene SNHG4. The record is from Ensembl. Lineage: Eukaryota; Metazoa; Chordata; Mammalia; Primates; Hominidae.
CUGCGCCCUGCGGAGCUCCGAACACGUGCGCAGAGGCUGGCUGUGGCAGAUGCAACUGCAGGAUGACUUGAAAGUAGGGCAUCCUUCACCCAUCUGAAGGGAGGAAAUAGUGGCAGGUGACAGUCUGCAUGUGCAGUUUUCAGGUAAAUAUCCCUAUUCAUUCCAACAUUGACUACCUCCUCUGUGCCAGGCCUGUGGGCUAGUUGGUAUCUAUCAGGAAACAAAUGGGAGAUGCCUUCACCUGAAUGACAUCUACCUCCAUCAGGACCCCAGAUGUCUGACAGCCCUGUGUGACACCAAGAUAAGUAAC